This 459-nucleotide ribosomal RNA is filed under the name uncultured bacterium. RNAcentral describes it as "partial 16S ribosomal RNA". It matches the Rfam family "Bacterial small subunit ribosomal RNA", at positions 338 to 795 of the family's 1533-position model. The record is from RNAcentral.
CCUACGGGAGACAGCAGUGAGGAAUAUUGGUCAAUGGCCGAGAGGCUGAACCAGCCAAGUCGCGUGAGGGAAGAAUGUCCUAUGGAUUGUAAACCUCUUUUGUCAGGGAGCAAAGUCACCCACGUGUGGGUGUUGGAGAGUACCUGAAGACAAAGCAUCGGCUAACUCCGUGCCAGCAGCCGCGGUAAUCCGGAGGAUUCGAGCGUUAUCCGGAUUUAUUGGGUUUAAAGGAUGCGUAGGCGGGUUAUCAAUUCAGCGGUAAAAUCGUGGAUCUCAACUCCAUUCAGCCGUUGAAACUGAUGAUGUUGAGUGGGCGAGAAGUAUGCGGAAUGCGUGGUGUAGCGGUGAAAGGCAUAGAUAUCACGCAGAACUCCGAUUGCGAAGGCAGCAUACCGGCGCCCGACUGACGCUGAAGCACGAAAGCGUGGGUAUCGAACAGGAUUAGAUACCCUAGUAGUC